Molecule: ribosomal RNA, 478 nt
Filed under: uncultured bacterium
Lineage: Bacteria
Description: partial 16S ribosomal RNA
Rfam family: Bacterial small subunit ribosomal RNA
Source: RNAcentral
GACGAACGCUGGCGGCGUGCUUAACACAUGCAAGUCGAACGGUAAGGCCCUUCGGGGUACACGAGUGGCGAACGGGUGAGUAACACGUGGGUGAUUUGCCCUGCACUUCGGGAUAAGCCUGGGAAACUGGGUCUAAUACCGGAUAGGACCACUGCCUGCAUGGGUGGUGGUGGAAAGCUUUUGCGGUGUGGGAUGGGCCCGCGGCCUAUCAGCUUGUUGGUGGGGUGAUGGCCUACCCAGGCGACGACGGGUAGCCGGCCUGAGAGGGUGACCGGCCACACUGGGACUGAGAUACGGCCCAGACUCCUACGGGAGGCAGCAGUGGGGAAUAUUGCACAAUGGGCGCAAGCCUGAUGCAGCGACGCCGCGUGAGGGAUGACGGCCUUCGGGUUGUAAACCUCUUUCAGCACCGACGAAGCGCAAGUGACGGUAGGUGCAGAAGAAGGACCGGCCAACUACGUGCCAGCCGCCGCGGUAA